Peromyscus maniculatus bairdii (prairie deer mouse) is the source of this 3929-nucleotide non-coding RNA. Lineage: Eukaryota; Metazoa; Chordata; Mammalia; Rodentia; Cricetidae. The record is from RefSeq and is a predicted model, not a curated record.
CCCAGUGUAGAAAGGUGUCUGUCCUGGGCGGGUGUCACACAGGCUCUGGGGUCAGGGCUGUGCGGGGUUUGGCCUUGUCACUGAUGCGUUGCUGUGUUAUAGGAGUUGAAUGUCACUCUCAGCCCUGCCGGGUGGGAGGUCCAUUCUGCUGGCCCCUCCCUCACCACCCAACGCUGCCUGCUGCCCUUGCUGAUACUGGACAGCCCAAGAAAUAGGCUGGAGAGGAAAAGGCCAGAGCAGGUUGGGGAAGACUUGGAGGCUGCGGCAGCUGGGAGUAGGGGCGUAGAGGGCCUGGGCUGGAGAGGGUGACCCUAGGGGAGGUGGUGGGCUGUGGCUGGUGGCUUUUGAGCUGGGGGGGGGAGCAGUUGUGGAGGCCCCUCCUGCUCCCUGUCUGGCUCAGCUCUGGCUGGCAGCCGUGGGUGUUGAAUACAGCUCAGCUGAGCAUCCAGCACUGGGGAGGGAUCAAGACAGCUCGAUGCAUGGAUGGGCGCGCAGUGCAGGGGUGGCGCAGGGGUGGCGCAGGGGUGUCAGCAGUGAUGGCAGCAGGAGGUGGCAGGGGAUGAGGUGGGGGCAGAGGAGGCAGCUUUGGAAACAGGGCCUCGGGGGCCCAGUUGAGAGAGGCAGAGCAGCAUAUUAGAGGUGGCCUGGAGCAGGGAUAGGUCGCCCGUCCCUUCUCUGUGCAGGCCACCGUCAUAGGACACCAAGAAAUUGGGCUGGCGGGCUGCCCACCCAUAUGGGGAAACUGAGGCUCAGGAGAGCAGGCUGUCCAGAAGCUAGCUAGUCAGAGCUGGGGUUCCAGAGCCCAGCAUUGGAAGAGGGCAGCAGGGGAUAAUAUGACAGAUCCUUGAGGCUGGGGACCCCCAUCUGCCCCAUCCCCAGAGAAUCCUCGGACAGGAAGGGAGGAUACCUGAGGAGCAGGAGAACACGCUUAGUCUCUACUGCCCCGGGGCCUCAGUCUACUUCUCAGUGAAAUGGAGACAGCCUCGGGCUACCUGUCAAUGCUUUCAUCUUUGGUGAUGAACCCCGAGGUUCCAGCACUCAGAGGAAAUGGAGGGGCCCCAGGAAAACUACCUUUUAGCUUUUGGACCUCUGGUUACUCUCAGUCUGUGCCUCAUUUUCCCUCCUGCAUGGGGAUCCCAGGUCUUCCCGGGCCAUGCUGGCACAGGGUAUCGGGGUGCUGUGCCUCCCCACUUCUCUCCUCCCUGUACUCUGUUCCCCCACUCCCCUACCCUGGCUCCCAGAACCCCGGAGGGCUGCUCUGAUGAGAGGUUCAUUUUCCUUUCAUUGUGCAGGUGACAGACCCUGCUGCCAAUAAUCUCCUGUGACAAAUCAACACUGAAGUCCAGUGGCCCCCUGGCCCUGACGGAAUCCAAGUAGAUCGAAGUGGAAAAAACCCAGGGCCUCUGGGGGUGGGGCCUGGAGGGACCACCACACCCAGCAGGUGCAUCGGGAGGGGCCCACCUUCUCUGUCACCCUCGUAGUCUGCCCAGAAAUCCCCUCCCUCCUCAUUCUUCAGGAUGCUCUGAAGAAGCAGGGUGACAGGUCUGGCUGCAGUGCCAGGAAGAGGGACCUAUCCUGAAGGGGAUCCUGAAAUGCCUGGGACAACAAGGAGCCUCCCAAAAAUGGGAGGGAAUCCAAUUUCCCUCCUUGUCUCCCUGUCUCCGCAGCAUGGGGCUUCCAGGGCAGGUCUGGCCGGCCUCUGGGGUCCCAAGUCCUCAGCCCGUCGUGGGUGAAGGAUGUGAAGAGGGCUAGAAGUGGGAGCGGUGUGCCACUCUCUGGAUAGGCAAUCUCACAGAUGAGUGGGAGACCCCGAGCCUGGCAGGAACUCUGACCUGGGGGUCGGGGGUAGGGGUGGGCAGAAUUUCCCCUAAUGGUCUCAUUUUGUGCCUCUUCCUCAUUCUGGGGGCAGGGGACCUGUCUGCACUGAUGCAUUUUUCAGAUGAGGAAGCCACCAAGAAAUCAGCAUCCCUGGCCUCUGAGUCAGUGCUGGGCACCGGGCAGCGGUCAGUGGAGGGGUGGGGAUAGGUAAACCGAGGCACAGAGAGGCUCUGGUGCUCAAGCUGCAUGUCUCUCCCGUACCUUUCCUUCUGCUCCCGUGUGUGCCGGCCAUGCCGCAUCUUGCUGAGAAAAGAGACGAACCGUGAGGAGAGGCGUGCUCUGAGCCCGGGGCUGACUAGAUUCUGGAGGAGUUGCUCAGCCCUCCUCCCCAGGUGGAGUAUGACAGGUACGAGGAUGGCCUUGCCUCUUUGCUGGUCCCAGUGUCUCUUUCCCUGAGGCCGACCCUGAGAUCAGGCCCUGCGGGUUGCCCCAGGCUGUGCUGACAUCAUUUCUCCUGGGCUGUGUGGUUAAGGGAGGGGACAGGCUGGUAGUCAGCAACAUGGCCCGAGGGGACACCUCAGGCACAAAAGAGUCUGAUAUGGCCCUGGCCUCCAGGUGACCUCCACUGCCUGACACCCCCCACCCCCACUCCCAUGUCUGGGCCUCUGAGGCUCAGAGUGUGUGUGCAUGGUUUGUGCAUGUGUGUCUGUGUCUGUGUGCAUGUAGGAGUGCAAGCGUGCGUGUGCGUGCGCGUGCGUGUGUGUGUGUGUGUGUGUGUGUGUGUGUGUGUGUGUGUGUGUGUAGGGGGUUGGGAUCAUUCAGGACAAGACAGAGCGUUCAUUGUGCCAGCAGUGUGAGCUGAGAGAUCUAACAAGUCAGGCCUCUGACCAGGGAAGGAGGGGAAGGGUUUCUUCCCUGGACACAGGAGUGUGUGUGUGUGUGUGUGUAUGUGUGUGUGUGUGUGUGUCUGUCUGUCUGUCUGUCUGUCUGUCCACUCACAAGCAGGUCCUGCCAGAGUGACACCUCUGCAGAUCUGUCCCUUCAGUGAGGACUGACUGAAGGCCAAGGGUAGCUGUACCCAGGAACAGUGCCGGACAGGUUUGCCAAGCCGCAAGGCAGGCCAGCUCCCCCAGCUGCUCUUUCUGGGAUGCCACACAGACCAGUGUGCAGAGUGGCAGGCUGAGUGCGCCAGCCACACGCAGGGCUCUCCGAAGGACAGGUCACCACUUGCAGAGGGCCCUCAAGUGAGCCUUGUCUUAGGAAGCCGCAGACAAGAGGUGUGGUCGGACAGUGCCACCACGCCGUGCUUCAGGAAGACCCUUCUCCACAGGAGCAGCAUUUGGGGUCGUCCUAGGAAACGGAGACCACCGGAAAAAGCUGAGGGACCUGACAACACGGGAGAGUUGUGAGCCGAGGUCCUGGGAAGGAACAGGUGGCAUCACUGCAGUCUAAGACCAUGGAACCUCACGGCACAAUUGGAGGGAGCGGCCGCAGUAAUCCUGGGCCAAGCUUCAUCUGGGGCAAACCCAUGGGAGAUUCCCAGCUUCCCUCAAGAGCCCAUUCCAGGGCCUCCUGCUUGCCCAUCGCGCCAACCCCACAGGAAACCAUUGACAUGGAGCCGGAAGAAACCGUUUCCCGGGCCCAGGCAUCUUCAGCUGCUGGGCAGACCAGUCCUGUCGGGGACAGCCCGAGGGCUGGCGUUCUCUGCUGGAUGCUGUCCACUGCUCCGAGUGUCAGAGUGUGGUCUGGCCUCUGCAAGGCCCUCUUCAGCCUGAGGUUUGACUGUUCACUUUUCAUGGAUCUCUCUGGCCCUUAGGUCCCAACUGGGCCUUGAACUGGGGUUGCAGACUGCAUAGCCUCUUCCAAAGGCUUGGCACUCAGCCCCAGCUGGGAGAGGAGAGCAGGCUGGACCUUCAAGAACCUUCCAAGCCAGGGAGGCAGAGAAAGCAUCGGGCCCAGCCCGUUCUAAGAGCUGUUGUGGGCACCGAAUCUUGUAGACAGAAUUGUGCACAGUGCAAGGAUGCCCACCAGGGCCAAUAGGCCUGAGUGUCAACCUAAGCUGUGACUUGAAACUUAAGACUUUGAGAGAGAUUUUAAAAAAAAAUAUUUUA